UGGGGAAUAUUGCACAAUGGGCGAAAGCCUGAUGCAGCGACGCCGCGUGAGGGACGACGGCCUUCGGGUUGUAAACCUCUUUCAGCAGGGACGAAGCGCAAGUGACGGUACCUGCAGAAGAAGCACCGGCUAACUACGUGCCAGCAGCCGCGGUAAUACGUAGGGUGCAAGCGUUGUCCGGAAUUACUGGGCGUAAAGAGUUCGUAGGCGGUUUGUCACGUCGUUUGUGAAAACUCACAGCUCAACUGUGAGCCUGCAGGCGAUACGGGCAGACUUGAGUACUGCAGGGGAGACUGGAAUUCCUGGUGUAGCGGUGAAAUGCGCAGAUAUCAGGAGGAACACCGGUGGCGAAGGCGGGUCUCUGGGCAGUAACUGACGCUGAGGAACGAAAGCGUGGGUAGCGAACA
Molecule: ribosomal RNA, 407 nt
Filed under: uncultured bacterium
Lineage: Bacteria
Also listed under: 1 other name
Description: partial 16S ribosomal RNA
Rfam family: Bacterial small subunit ribosomal RNA
Source: RNAcentral